GUCAUUCCCUCUAGAUGAGAGCAGAUC
This 27-nucleotide non-coding RNA is filed under the name Rattus norvegicus (Norway rat). The record is from RNAcentral. Lineage: Eukaryota; Metazoa; Chordata; Mammalia; Rodentia; Muridae.